Molecule: long non-coding RNA, 552 nt
Filed under: Homo sapiens (human)
Lineage: Eukaryota; Metazoa; Chordata; Mammalia; Primates; Hominidae
Description: non-protein coding lnc-BAD-1:1
Source: RNAcentral
AACUAGGGCCCGGAGCCCGGGGUGCUGGAGGGAGGCGGCAGGCCCGGGUCAGGGGCCUCGAGAUCGGGCUUGGGCCCAGAGCAUGUUCCAGAUCCCAGAGUUUGAGCCGAGUGAGCAGGAAGACUCCAGCUCUGCAGAGAGGGGCCUGGGCCCCAGCCCCGCAGGGGACGGGCCCUCAGGCUCCGGCAAGCAUCAUCGCCAGGCCCCAGGCCUCCUGUGGGACGCCAGUCACCAGCAGGAGCAGCCAACCAGCAGCAGCCAUCAUGGAGGGAGAACUUCGUAUUCUCCUUCUUGGGAAUCUGAGGACUCUGAAAAUCCCAGUGCAGGGAUGCUCGCGGAAGCAUCAGCAGGGAUGUCCGCCCCAGCCGCUGACUCAGAAGCCCAACACGCAGAGAAUGUAAAGCUAGAGGUGCCAUGCUGGGGCCUGGGGCACUUCUAGCCACAGCCACUACCCUCCACUUCCACACCCAGCUCCGGGCCAGGCUCUAGGCGGAUGGCAAGAGUGGGCAGGCCUGGGCACCCACCCACGUUCACACCCAAGGAGGAGCCACA